This 497-nucleotide ribosomal RNA is filed under the name uncultured bacterium. RNAcentral describes it as "partial 16S ribosomal RNA". It matches the Rfam family "Bacterial small subunit ribosomal RNA", at positions 28 to 507 of the family's 1533-position model. The record is from RNAcentral.
GAUGAACGCUGGCGGCGUGCCUAAUACAUGCAAGUCGAGCGAACAGAUAAGGAGCUUGCUGCGUUGACGUGAGCGGCGGACGGGUGAGUAACACGUGGGUAACCUACCUAUAAGACGGGGAUAACUUCGGGAAACCGGAGCUAAUACGGGAUAACAUUUGGAACCGUGGGGUUGUAAAGUGAAAGAUGGUUGUGCUAUCACUAAUAGAUGGACCCGCGCCGUAUUUGCUAGUUGGUAAGGUAACGGCCUACCAAGGCAACGAGCCGUAGCCGACCUGUGGGGCUGGUCGCCCACCCUAGAACUGGGACACGCUCCAGACUCCUACGGGAGGCCGCAGAAGCCAAUCUUCGGCAGUGGUCGAAAGCCUGGCGGAGCAACCCCACGCCAGUGAUGAAGGGUUUCCGCUCGUAAAACCCUGUUAUUAGGGAUGAACAGCUUUCUACUUAACCGUACCCGUCGUGACGGUACCUAAUCAGAAAGCACCGGCUAACUACGUG